CGUAGUCAACCUGCCCUGGAGACAAGGACAACCCCGGGAAACUGGGAUUAAUCCUCGAUAGGUCAUCUCAUCUGGAAGGAGAGAUGGCUUAAAGGGGUACGAGGGCUUCUUCCACGUAUUCGCUCCAGGAUGGGACUGCGACCGAUCAGGCUGUUGGCGGGGUAAUGGCCCACCAAACCUGUAACCGGUACGGGCCUUGAGAGAGGUGGCCCGGAGAUGGACACUGAGAGAAGGGUCCAGGUCCUACGGGGCGCAGCAGGCGCGAAACCUUCGCAAUGCGCGAAAGCGUGACGAGGUUAAUCCGAGUGACUCCCGCUGAGGGGGUCUUUUGUCAGCUGUAAAUAGGCAGGCGAAUAAGGGGAGGGCAAGCCUGGUGUCAGCCGCCGCGGUAAUACCAGCUCCUCGAGUGGUCGGGGCGAUUAUUGGGCCUAAAGCAUCCGUAGCCGGUUCCGUAGGUCCUCUGUUAAAUCCAACUGCUUAACAGUUGACCUGCAGAGGAUACCGCGGGACUAGGAGGCGGGAGAGGCGGACGGUACUCCGCGUGUAGGGGUAAAAUCCUUUGAUCCGCGGAAGACCACCAGUGGCGAAGGCGGUCCGCCAGAACGCGCUCGACGGUGAGGGAUGAAAGCUGGGGGAGCGAACCGGAUUAGAUACCCGGGUAGUCCCAGCCGU
This 672-nucleotide ribosomal RNA is filed under the name uncultured archaeon. RNAcentral's name for it is "bacterial SSU rRNA". It matches the Rfam family "Archaeal small subunit ribosomal RNA", at positions 99 to 754 of the family's 1478-position model. The record is from RNAcentral.